Molecule: long non-coding RNA, 1495 nt
Organism: Carassius gibelio (silver crucian carp)
Lineage: Eukaryota; Metazoa; Chordata; Actinopteri; Cypriniformes; Cyprinidae
Exons: 2
Source: RefSeq, a predicted model, not a curated record
AUCUGGGGGGUAUUCCAAAAAGCAGGUUAUGUGACAUACCUGGGUAUGUAUAAGGGUAAGUUCGUGGAUAACCUCAACGUUCGGUUCCAAAAACAGAGGUCACUUUCUGGGUAUGUAUGUAACCAUAGCAACUGACUCUCUGAAGAUAACCUGCUCGAGAGCAGGUUAUGUUUCAGUGUAACUUCGUUUCAGAAGGUUGGUGAGCAUGGCGUGCCCUUUUGACGAGGAUCCUGUGGACGUUGAAGCACAAAUUAUACGAGGUUUUUUUCAUCGGGAGAGGGUUAUAAGACCGCGUAUUGAUGUGUUUGCUUACCCUAAUGAAUAUUUAAAAGAGCGUUAUCGUUUUUCAAAAGAUUCAUUAGUUUAUUUAACACGUCUUUUAAAACCGCAUAUCGCAAAUGUGACAAACCGCGGCUCUGCGCUUAGCACAGAAAACAUUCUGUGCAUAGCACUUAGGUUUUUUGCGUCUGGCCAUUUUUUGUACAGUGUGGGCGAUUCAGAGCAUGUGGGAAAGGCAACUGUGUGUAGAGCCGUUCGUACAGUGUGUCUGGCACUUAAACAGUUGUUACCCACGUUUGUACAGUUCCCUGGCCAUAAACCUCUGCUUGUUAUUAAAGACGAAUUCCACAGAGUGGCAGGUUUGUCCUUUGUAGUAAAAUAUAUGACGCAUAUUUAAUAUUUAGUCAUAUUAUUAAUAUCUAUACAUGUAUUCCUUAUGCACACACUUCAUACUUCCAAAACUUUCUGUUUCAGGGUUUCCAAAUGUAAUUGGGUGCAUUGAUGGCACUCACAUUCCUAUUAAAGCUCCAUCAAUAAAUGAGGGAGACUAUGUUAAUAGGAAAUCUAUUCAUAGUAUCAAUGUGCAGGUAACAACUUAAUUUUUUCCCCUUCUUAAAAUCAUCAAAGUCAUUACUUUUUCCACUAACUAUAGGUAAUAUGUGAGGCAACCCAAAUCAUCACCAAUGUCGAGGCAAAAUGGCCAGGAUCUGUGCAUGAUGCCAGAAUUUUCCGCGAGUCAUCAUUAUGCCAGACAUUUCAGCAGGGACAGUACAAUGGUUACUUGCUGGGGGACAGAGGAUACCCUUGUCUGCCCUAUUUAAUGACACCCUACCCUGAACCUGAGCCUGGACCACAGACACGGUUUAACCUGGCUCACAGCCGAACACGGGCCAAGGUGGAGAUGACUAUAGGGAUCCUCAAAUCUCGGUUUCAGUGUCUGCGUGGGCUCCGGGUUAGUCCAGAGAGGGCAUGCGAUAUUAUUGUGGCUUGUGUUGUGCUUCACAAUAUUGCCACUAUAAGAGGAGAGAGCCACCCUCCUUGUAUUGAGGAAGAUGGCCCAGAGGAACACCGACAGAUUUUAGAGGCCAACAGAGACGGAAGACUUUUGAGAGACAGGAUUUGUCAAAAUUACUUUUAUUAGUUUUUUUUGCACUGGUCUGCCAGGCAGUUUAUUUCUUCAUUUCCUGAAAAACAAUAAAAGUAAAAUUCAUUAAAA